GGGGCCGUGGUGCAGCUUGGUUAGCACACUGGCCUGUCAAGCCAGAGGUCGCGGGUUCGAGCCCCGUCGGCCCCGCCA
RNAcentral lists this transfer RNA (78 nucleotides) under Bacteroidota bacterium. RNAcentral describes it as "Bacteroidetes bacterium (hydrothermal vent metagenome) tRNA-Asp". It matches the Rfam family "tRNA". Rfam says of the family: Transfer RNA (tRNA) molecules are approximately 80 nucleotides in length. Their secondary structure includes four short double-helical elements and three loops (D, anti-codon, and T loops). The record is from RNAcentral. Lineage: Bacteria; Pseudomonadati; Bacteroidota.